GACGGAGGAUGCAAGCGUUAUCCGGAAUGAUUGGGCGUAAAGCGUCCGCAGGUGGCAGUUCAAGUCUGCUGCCAAAGACCGGGGCUUAACUUCGGAAAGGCAGUGGAAACUGGACAGCUAGAGUAUGGUAGGGGCAGAGGGAAUUCCUGGUGUAGCGGUGAAAUGCGUAGAGAUCAGGAAGAACAUCGGUGGCGAAGGCGCUCUGCUGGACCAUAACUGACACUCAGGGACGAAAGCUAGGGGAGCGAAUGGG
This 253-nucleotide ribosomal RNA is filed under the name uncultured bacterium. RNAcentral describes it as "partial 16S ribosomal RNA". It matches the Rfam family "Bacterial small subunit ribosomal RNA", at positions 524 to 776 of the family's 1533-position model. The record is from RNAcentral.